UGCUGUGAGCUCGAUGAGUAGGGCGGGACACGUGGUAUCCUGUCUGAAUAUGGGGGGACCAUCCUCCAAGGCUAAAUACUCCUGACUGACCGAUAGUGAACCAGUACCGUGAGGGAAAGGCGAAAAGAACCCCGGCGAGGGGAGUGAAACAGAACCUGAAACCGUGUACGUACAAGCAGUGGGAGCCCCACCACUAAGCCAGUGGUGAACUCCACAUACGCAUCCUUUGCGGAAGAUACGGUUAACGGAGCGAAAGCGACGUUCAACCGCAAAAGAAGCAGAGGGGGCUUAGUGGUGGGGUGACUGCGUACCUUUUGUAUAAUGGGUCAGCGACUUAUAUUCUGUAGCAAGGUUAACCGAAUAGGGGAGCCGGAGGGAAACCGAGUCUUAACCGGGCGUUAAGUUGCAGGGUAUAGACCCGAAACCCGGUGAUCUAGCCAUGGGCAGGUUGAAGGUUGGGUAACACUAACUGGAGGACCGAACCGACUAAUGUUGAAAAAUUAGCGGAUGACCUGUGGCUGGGGGUGAAAGGCCAAUCAAACCGGGAGAUAGCUGGUUCUCCCCGAAAGCUAUUUAGGUAGCGCCUCGUGAAUUCAUCUCCGGGGGUAGAGCACUGUUUCGGCCAGGGGGCCAUCGCGGCUUACCAACCCGAUGCAAACUGCGAAUACCGGAGAAUGUUAUCACGGGAGACACACGGCGGGUGCUAACGUCCGUCGUGAAGAGGGAAACAACCCAGACCGCCAGCUAAGGUCCCAAAGUCAUGGUUAAGUGGGAAACGAUGUGGGAAGGCCCAGACAGCCAGGAUGUUGGCUUAGAAGCAGCCAUCAUUUAAAGAAAGCGUAAUAGCUCACUGGUCGAGUCGGCCUGCGCGGAAGAUGUAACGGGGCUAAACCAUGCACCGAAGCUGCGGCAGCGACACUGUGUGUUGUUGGGUAGGGGAGCGUUCUGUAAGCCUGCGAAGGUGUGCUGUGAGGCAUGCUGGAGGUAUCAGAAGUGCGAAUGCUGACAUAAGUAACGAUAAUGCGGGUGAAAAACCCGCACGCCGGAAGACCAAGGGUUCCUGUCCAACGUUAAUCGGGGCAGGGUGAGUCGACCCCUAAGGCGAGGCCGAAAGGCGUAGUCGAUGGGAAACGGGUUAAUAUUCCCGUACCUGGUGUUACUGCGAAGGGGGGACGGAGAAGGCUAUGUUGGCCGGGCGACGGUUGUCCCGGUUUAAGCGUGUAGGUGUGUGUUCCAGGAAAAUCCGGUUCACUUUAACACUGAGGCGUGACGACGAGGCACUACGGUGCUGAAGCAACAAAUGCCCUGCUUCCAGGAAAAGCCUCUAAGCCUCAGGUAACAUCAGAUCGUACCCGAAACCGACACAGGUGGUCAGGUAGAGAAUACCAAGGCGCUUGAGAGAACCCGGGUGAAGGAACUAGGCAAAAUGGUGCCGUAACUUCGGGAGAAGGCACGCUGACA
RNAcentral lists this ribosomal RNA (1461 nucleotides) under Salmonella enterica. Its description in RNAcentral is "partial 23S ribosomal RNA". It matches the Rfam family "Bacterial large subunit ribosomal RNA", at positions 395 to 1756 of the family's 2925-position model. The record is from RNAcentral. Lineage: Bacteria; Pseudomonadati; Pseudomonadota; Gammaproteobacteria; Enterobacterales; Enterobacteriaceae.